RNAcentral lists this ribosomal RNA (460 nucleotides) under uncultured bacterium. Its description in RNAcentral is "partial 16S ribosomal RNA". It matches the Rfam family "Bacterial small subunit ribosomal RNA", at positions 338 to 795 of the family's 1533-position model. The record is from RNAcentral.
CCUACGGGAGGCAGCAGUGAGGAAUAUUGGUCAAUGGGCGCGAGCCUGAACCAGCCAAGUAGCGUGAAGGAUGACUGCCCUACGGGUGGUAAACUUCUUUUAUAAAGGAAUAAAGUGAGGCACGUGUGCCUUUUUGUAUGUACUUUAUGAAUAAGGAUCGGCUAACUCCGUGCCAGCAGCCGCGGUAAUACGGAGGAUCCGAGCGUUAUCCGGAUUUAUUGGGUUUAAAGGGUGCGUAGGCGGCCUUUUAAGUCAGCGGUGAAAGUCUGUGGCUCAACCAUAGAAUUGCCGUUGAAACUGGAGAGCUUGAGUAUGUUUGAGGCAGGCGGAAUGCGUGGUGUAGCGGUGAAAUGCUUAGAGAUCAUACAGAACACCGAUUGCGAAGGCAGCUUACCAAUCUAUAUCUGACGUUGAGGCACGAAAGCGUGGGGAGCAAACAGGAUUAGAUACCCCAGUAGUC